GUACACUCCUGCGGGAGGCAGCAGUGGGGAAUAUUGGACAAUGGGCGCAAGCCUGAUCCAGCCAUGCCGCGUGAGUGAUGAAGGCCCUAGGGUUGUAAAGCUCUUUCACCGGUGAAGAUAAUGACGGUAACCGGUGAAGAAGCCCCGGCUAACUUCGUGCCAGCAGCCGCGGUAAUACGAAGGGGGCUAGCGUUGUUCGGAUUUACUGGGCGUAAAGCGCACGUAGGCGGACUAUUAAGUCAGGGGUGAAAUCCCGGGGCUCAACCCCGGAACUGCCUUUGAUACUGGUAGUCUUGAGUUCGAGAGAGGUGAGUGGAAUUCCGAGUGUAGAGGUGAAAUUCGUAGAUAUUCGGAGGAACACCAGUGGCGAAGGCGGCUCACUGGCUCGAUACUGACGCUGAGGUGCGAAAGCGUGGGGAGCAAACAGGAUUAGAAACCCCAGUAGUCCCAUG
Molecule: ribosomal RNA, 452 nt
Filed under: uncultured organism
Description: partial 16S ribosomal RNA
Rfam family: Bacterial small subunit ribosomal RNA
Source: RNAcentral